RNAcentral lists this long non-coding RNA (12304 nucleotides) under Sorghum bicolor (sorghum). RNAcentral describes it as "long non-coding RNA (SBIC_LNC003343)". Lineage: Eukaryota; Viridiplantae; Streptophyta; Magnoliopsida; Poales; Poaceae. The record is from RNAcentral.
GUGGCUCUGUCCGCCUCGCUGCGCUUCCGGCUUCGCUGAGGCUGACUCGCAACUUUGCGAGCGACCGAGACCCCCGAGCGACAAGCGCGACCGCAAGGACGCCCGACGUCGACAGUCCGAGGUGGAGCCGCUGCCCGCCGGCCCAGGCCUCCCGUUCAGCCGUCCGGCGCGUCCGCUCCCACAGACCCGUACAGGCACAGGCGCACAGCGGCUCCCGCGGCUCGCGGCCCUCGCGCGCGCGUCCGCUCCACUCGACGGCUCGACCUCCGACGCCGACGGUGGACAACUCCGCCACUCCGCCAGCGGGCACAGGCAGCGCUGCUGCGGCAGCGGCCACGGCCCACAGGCCACAGCCAAUCCGGGUGAAUUUUGGUAAGUUUGAUUUUUUUUUUCUUCCAGAUGGUUUAGGGAUUUGAUUUUCUUCUAGAUCUAUGAUUCUGUGAGAUUGUGAGGUGUGAACCAAGAAUUGAAUCAAUUUAUUAAUAUGUUUUUAAGAAGUUGAGGCAUGAAGAAAUCAAAUAUAGCAGUUCUAAAAAAAUUGCAACUCAUAUCUCCACCAACACCAAUUUUAGUUAUUGAUGAAGAGCUCUCUAUUCCUAUUGUAGAAAAUUUGCUUAUUUUAUAGUCAUUUUACCGAAUUUUUUCUUUGAAAUUUGUCGUGUUACGCAUGAAAAAACAUUUUUAGGACUACCUUGGUUCCAAUUUCUGGGUCCACCACUGUAUAAACAUAGGAUUUUACUUUUACUGGUCUAAGUUGAGUAGAGAAGUAAUUGACUGGAUUUAGGAUAGAUAGCCGACUAUGAAGAGGGGAAAUCACGGUCAUCUCUCGAAUCAAGUGCUACUAGGUCCAUAUCUUGAGCAUAUGCAUUAGAAUCUAGUAAAGUGCUAACCUAACUUCUUUGAUGAAAAUGUUUGUGAAAAGCUAACACACAUGCACUUUAGUGGUGGCACUUAUUGGUGUUAGCAACAUUUGCAAAGGAGGUGGAGUUCCUAGGAUUGAGAGGGGUUUGGGUUUCUCUCUCUCCCUCCCGCCGAGCUUGCUCGGCGGUAUUCGGCGCUUUUGAGAAAAUUAAGUAUAUAUUUUCUAUUGCGUCGGUGGAAAAUUUGGAGAAGUCAUGGGUCGCUGAGAAACACUCAUCAGACGCAGUGUGUGGAGGCACCGGACGCUGGCUUUAGCAUCUGGUGUGCUGUCAGCGCUUGGCUCUAUUAGGGUUGAGCACCGGACGCACUGCACUAGACGCAGGAUGUUCCCUGUUCAUGCGUCUGGUGUGGCCUGACUUCAGCAGAGGGUGUCUGACUGAGAGCACUGGACGCUCGGAGUGCGUCCGGUGGUGUGAGUCCGGUGUGGGGACGUUUUGCAGACCUCUCUAUGCACGAGUUCGGUGAGUACCGGACGCGUCCGGUGAGGUCGUGAGUUUGCAGACCUCUCUACGCACGGGACUGGUGAGUACCGGACGCGUCCGGUGCUCAUUUGGUCGCGUCUGGUGGUCCGCAGGUGACCGUUAGAGUUUGACGCGCGAGUUUCAAAGAUGGACACGUGGCUAACAUUAGUGCACCGGACGCAGGGGGUCGAGCGUCCGGUGGUUCCCUAAUACGCGUCUGGUGCCCCUGAGAUUUGUCCAGUGACAGAGCCAACGGCUCUAUCUCUUUGAGGGGCUUAUAAAUAGAAGGUGGCCGGCUUUAGAGGGUUUUCUCUUGCACAUUUGAUUACUUGAGGCAUACAUUGAGCUAGAGAACACUCUCUCCACUCAUCUCUUUGCUUGAUUGCUAUUCUUAGUGAGAUUGAGUGAAAUUCAAGUGCAUUGCAUUGAGAGUUGCAUCUAGUGGCACUUGAUCCUUGAGUUUGCUACGGAUUUCUUGUUACUCUUGGGUGUUUCCUGAUGCUCUAGAUGGCUUGGAGUAGCGGUGGUGUUGAGCUCGUGAUUGGAGAUUGUUUCGAGCCUCACCAAGUGAUUUGUGAGGGGUUUUUGAGCCUUCCCCGUGGGAGAUCAUAAUUGGCUACUCUAGUGGAUUUCUCGUGGCUUGGAGGAUCCCCAUCUUGUGAGUGGAUGUGCGGCACCCGCUGAGGGUUUGGCUUUGAAUUGCCAAUUAGCUCGUGAUCUAUCAAGUGAGUGUAUCACCACAACGAGAACUAGCUUGCCGGGAAGCAAGUGAACCUCGGUAAAAAAUCCUGUGUCGUCUCAUGUCGAGGAUUUUCUAUUGUGAUUGUGAUUGUGAGUGAUUGAUUGCAUAUAUCUCUACUCUACAACGUUGGUAUAACAAUCACUCUCUACUUCUUUACUUACUUGCAUACCUUACUAGUUGUUUAGCUUGUUUAGCAUAGUCUUCUUGUUUAGGAGUAUAGCUAGCCUUCUCUUGUUGUUGUGGUUUAGUGUUUAGUCUUGUACUAGACUUUAGGUGGCUUUAGCUUAGUUGAGCUAGUGCUAGAAUAGUUUCGCCUUUUGUUUUACUAAUCAACUUGUUUAGUUGUAGUUUGUAGAAAAUUUAAAUAGGCUAUUCAUCCCCCCUAGCCAUUUGGACCUUUCAUCUUUGCCGACUCAAAAUUUUUCGAGAGCUCUUUACCGAGAGCCGCUCUCGGCAAAGCCUUGCCGAGGAUUUUUGGGUCUUUGUCGGGGGCUUGGGGCCCUCAACAAAGAGGGCGCGUCCAGUAGUGUUACACGGUUCAGGUCUAUAUGACUCUAAAAAUUUAAUGAGCUUUGUUUUGUUUGGAUUAAAUAUUACUUUAAUAUUAGUAUUGUUAUUUUAUCAUGCGACCUAUUUGUUUUUAUAUAAAAAAAUUAGUUGUCUUAUAUCAACGCACAGGCAUACCUAUCUAGUACAGUUUGAUGCCUUAGGUCCUGCCUAUUGCUUUUUUGAACACAAAUAAUCGACACCCAGUAUGCAAUGUAACCAAACUCAUCUCAUCAAUUAUAGAUGCAUGUAUGCCACAGAUAAUGAUGUGGUGAUAAACAUACAUGGAAGUGUCAUUGAAAGAACAAUUAUUAUUCCCUCUCGCGCUUGGCUAUUAUUGAACUGGGCCUCCACCGAAGGCAUCCAUGGCCAUAUGGGUAAUGGGUGCGUGUCAAGAAUUAUUUCUCAGAAAAAAAACAAAAGUGUAAGAAUUGGAUGCAAGUAGGUCAGCUUCAGCUCCACGGAAGCCACGAGCCCACAACUUUACUUUGAGCCAAGCCAAGAAGCUUGAUUUUGCUACGCCUACAUUUGUGAGUUGCAUUGCCUAUUCCCAGUCAGAUACAUCCAUCAUAUACGGAGUACUAAUGGGGGAAAAAAAACGUUGCUUGAGAACUUGGCUACAAGCAUUAGUUCCAUAUACGAUCCGGUUGAAAGAAAAAUCAGAUGCUACGGAUAUUGACAUGACAUCCCACCCAACAAUACAUGAGCACUAACACGUAAGAACAAAUCAAGCAUAUAUGCUUCCUCUGUCUAAGUAAAAGUGUUGUUUUAUUAGCAUUCAAAUAUUAUCUCAAUAAAAAUGUCGUUUUAGGUACAGACCUACUCCUAGGAGCAACACCAGUCUUCAACAUACGAAAGAGAAGCGCAAGAGAGGAUGGAGUAUAUAUGAUUUUAAUUAAUGAGGAUGGAGUAAUACCUAGGAGUAACCGUGUUCAUCCUAAAACGACUUUAAUUCAGAGAUAAAGUGAGUAUGAGAGUUGCCUAUUUAACGACAAAAGUGAACAUUUGGUAUUGCAUAAUGCAUACUAUGGCUACAACUACUUUUUUUAUAAAGAGAUAUGUCUCAAAAAAACAAAGGUUGAUAUGACUGAUGGACAAAAGACAUAAAACGAUCUGUACAAAAUAAAAGUAUAUCAAAGAUCAAAUUGGUCAUCUUCCACCUUCAAACAUUCACUGCUGGAAUUUAAAGAUCCACACUGUGAACACAGCAAGAAAAGAAAUACCUGCAAACACCCUCACAAACAAGGCUCUGAAGAGCGAAAUAGCCACUUGCUGCUGACAGCGAGAUCUAGUAUAGUAUCUCUUGAAAGAACAUCAGCUAGAGGAAACCUCCAAGAAAUGCAGGCUUACCAGACCAAAAGAAGAGGUUGAGAUCGUCGUAUGCAAAGGCAACCAACUGCCCCCUCUAAAAAAACAUACCAAAUGUCAAGAUCUAACAACAGAUCUAACAAGUCAGACUCUCCCUAACCCUUCGCUGAUACCAAAUCAAACGUUGUCAAGGUAGAGAGAGGCCGAAGAGAUAUUAUUCCAAAGUAUCAUCAUUGUCACCACCUCGUUGAUGACACUAGAAACUAUAACCUAGAUCACAAGGAUUCACAAACCUAAUCAAGAACUACGAAGAAGGAAAACGGGUCUCCAAUCCUGUAUCCACUAGCGAGAUCAUGAGAGAAGAGGGACCGAGGUAUGUCCUGGCUGUGGGCGGCGGGGACGGCGUAUGGGAAGUGCUAGGGCAGAUGCGACUCUGGAGGGAACGUAAUGCCACCCAUUUUCCGUAGGAACACAUGAACAUUUGCUAUUGCAUACUACCGCUACUGUCACUCACUUUGCGUAGGAGGCCUCAAACUUUACAUCAGGACAUCCUUGCCCAGUAUCAAAAUAUUUGUGGGUAAUUCAAAUUGUGCAAGUCUCAAAUACGAACUUAUGGAAGACCACAUUCGGCGAAUAACCUAUUCUGGCCAGCAGGGAAAACAAAAAGGAGUACAGCAGAAAAAUGGUGGUUCAAAGUGCAGGUACGACAUCAUGGAGUCUAGAGAGAAAAGAAAAAGUGGCUUGUCCAAUGCAAUCAACCUACUUGUCACAUUGCAGGACAGGUGGGCAGGUCAUUCAUUUUCCUUGACACGAGGGACCUAAUAGCAAAUUAUGGUGGCAAAUGAAUCUCGCCUUAUUAUAAAAGCUGACUAUGGUGGCACCUGAAUUUCACGCUUUAGUAUAAGAGCAACAAUCCACAAUCGACUGAGAAACCCAUUUACCCUGCACAUCUGAUAAGAUCAUCAUAGUUGCUGACCAAGCUGACUACAAAGAGUGUACGCCAACAAACUUUAACCACAACUCUUGACUCAACAAGUAUACACAAAGGAAACCCAAAGAUUGUCAGAAGAAACAACACCUACCAAGUAAUUUACUGCCAAGCCCGUCUAAGCAACCCACGGUGGCAGCAGCAGUCAACAGCUCUACAAAUACAUCUACCUGUAUACAUAUGCAAGCAGCUCCAACGGUAUCAUCUCACAAUCUCCUGCCACUGCCAGACUCCACAUCGUUUAGAGUAUCUCUUAGGGUCAUCCCACCGUGGCCUGGAAUAUUGACUGUUUCGAUCUCGGUUGGUCUCACACUGUACGAGUUUGCAUGUCUGCUGUUCCGUUCCUCCGCUACCUGGACCGUGUAUGCAUGAGGCCACCAAGCUGCAAAGGAGAUGUACAAUAUUCUGUGACAUGUUGAACAAAACCUGAAAACUCAAUAGUUGGUAAAACAGUGAAUAGUAGGUACCAUCGCCAUCAAAAGGAUACGGGAAAAAUUGCAGAUAGCAAAAUGAAGCAACUGUAAGACCUGCAAAGGCAAGUGGCCAUGGCGAGAAAGAUGAUCCAUUAUGUAUUUUCAGGACAUCUAGAAAAUCUUGAUCUAUUUAAAAAAGAUAUAUCAAAAUUUACAAACCUAUAAGAGCCCCUGCAAAUACAUCUUGCCAAUGAUGCCAGUAGUCAUCCACUCGAGAAACAGCCACAAGUGCAGCAGUAAGGAGAGGCAGAAACACAAUGCAUAGCUUCGCAACAUGUCCUUUGCGAUCAAAAGCUGCGAUUUUCCCAGCUAAGUACCAUGCAAGGAAGCCUAAACCAGCAAAAGACCCUGAAGUAGUGUAAUAGGCCACACAACAAAUUUUAGAUGCCAUCACACUGUAAAAAAAUAUCAUGAGGUGCCAAGUUGAAACUUAACUUCAGCACAUAAAAAAAAGGACUUAUGCUUCAGUAAUAAUUUACACUGAGUAUUGGGAAUGUGUUAGGCAAAUAUGCCGCAGCCCCUUACCAUAUGCUGCGGCAUAUCAUUGCCAUAAUUAGCAGAUGUAAAUCAAUCAGGGAUAGCUGAUUUAUUUACUAUAAUUAGCAGAUGUAAAUCACUGAUUUAGUUACUAUAAUUAGGAGAUGUAAAUCAAGAGAAUCACCCUUGCCUUGUAAAGGCCAGUCGGCCCUAUAUAAUAGAAGGCGCCCCCUCCAAUUGAGGUGUGGCCAAUUGCCCCAAUCCUAAUCUUCUACAGAAUGUUACGGUAGUUCAAGUAAUUAAGUGAAAAGAGAGUAACCGUUAGAUCUGCUCAUCAUGCACAUAGGUCAUACUUUACAACCUAAAUUCACUCACUCCACUACUCUAUGGUGUAUCGCAUGCAGCUUGCCCCAAGGUAACUCACAUACAGUUUUCAUGCCUGCUUGCUCUCAGAAACAUGUGCACAAAAUGUUUGAAUCACUUUUUUUCCAUUUUUCUAAGACUCAUGGAUCAUAUCUCAGAUAAGGCUCAGAAUUUUGAGUACCUAAGAGAUAGUAUACUUCCAGAUGGGAGGCUAAAUUCAGGGUUACCAAACAGUGCUUAAAUUUCAGCAAGGCAUUUGAGAUAUGGGCAAUUUUGAGGUCUCGUCUGUGGCAUUCAAUAUUUCCAUAGAACAUGGCAGGAAAGACCCAAGAGAAUCCAUUGUUUGGAAUUACUUGGUCACUCAUGUGGCCUAAUUUCUCAGACAGCACAGACAGUCUCAUUGACUGCACACCACUUGUUUGCAACUCUCUUGCCCCCUAUCACCAAUGCAGAAUCAUGCAAAGCCACAAAAACUGUCCACAAUGCAGGUUGUCAUCAUGCCCAACUGAGGUCUUAGCACCCACCCACAAAGACAUCCACUUUCUCUGAUGAUUAGAACUAGCAUGCCCAAGGCAUACCACACACCCCAAAGGUAGACCCAUUUUUAUUUCUCCCAAAAAAAAAGACAGCCAGUACUGAAAGAAUCUAUUUCCUCAAGUAUGACCUUGCAAUGGUAUUUUAGACAUAUCAUCAAAGUGUAGUAGACCAAUCUAAUUUUAUUGAAUAUGCAAGUGGCAGUUAACUUUUAAAAGCAUAUAGGUUUUCCCACUGUAAAAUUGUCCAUAGAGUUGGGCAACAAGUGCACCAAAGGGAUCAAUAUUACAAAGGGGAACAUAUGCAGUUACAGGCUAUUUGAGUACUUAUGUGGUUAUGCCAUUACUUACAUGAACUGUGUCCACUGGGGAAGCUCUUGUGGCCUUCCUUGAUUACGCUCUUCACUCCAUUGCAUAUAACACCAGUUGUAAUGUUAUCAUAAACCUUAAAGAUAAUGUAAUUAGCCCAGAUUCUGUGCAAAUUUUGAAGCAUAUACAUAUCAACACAGAUGAACUUGCUACAGGACUAUAAGUUAGUUUUUAUUUUUAUCUUACAUCAUUUCCAUCAGGGAAACAGCGCCAGAAAAAAUCUGGACGAGGCCGUCCAACACCAUCCUUAAUCGCAUCAGUAAUCACUGCAGUUAUGAGCACUGAGUAUAGAAUCCCUACAAAAUUUCAAUUUUUCAGAUAUGUUUCUCUUGUACUAAUCAACAUAUCGAACGGAUCAUAAUCAUAAAUAUGUAAAAUACCCAGUAUGCCAUGGUGCAAAUCAUAAAAAUUCUUCUUUUUGAAGUAAAUUCCAACAAAGAUGGCCCAAGGCAGUAUAAUUCCAAUCAGCUGCAAAUAAGAAAAACAGCUAAGAACCACACAAAAACUUUUGCAUGGAUGUAACAGGAUCAAAACAUACUGAAAGAUAAGGAUACCAGGACAUACUGGAACAGCCCAAAAUGGCACUGUAUUGCCCUUCAUAGGAUAUCUCAAGUCAGUCAUCAUGUCUUUUCCAACAAAACGGUGAAAUGGUUCAAUUAAAUUCAACAGCCCGUCUAUGACAGCAAGGAGGAGAAGUAUUAUCCAGUCAUACAUGUGCAAUCUUGCCAAUAUCAUCCCAUGGGAUCUAAUAGUGUAAAACCCUAACUGGUCUGCCAUUGUCUCCUACAAAAACAAAGAGUGUAAGAGAGCAAACAACAGGGAGUGAAGUUACAAUAACAGUUGCAAUUUAAUUCUCAAGGGCUUCACAGCACUGCAAGACCAAUGUUAUUAGUCAUGAUUAUCUUUCAUACAGGGUGAAAAUGUAGUUCUCAUGUUCCAUCAGCAUGGAAAUUAACAGUGACAAUUUAGCAUCUCCUAUGAGUUAUGGCAGUAGAAUAAUUACAGAAACACGACAUAUUUAAUGAUAUCAUCAAUGCAUAGACCUGGAAACCAAGGCAUUUCCAUGUGAAUUAAUAUAUUGAAACUUCAGUUCCAAUAAAAGGUAUAAGCUUUGGUAAAAAACAAACACAAAACUGGACAAUCUUUCUUCAUGUUUUAAAGAGACUUCAAAUAUGUGCUAGGGACACAGGAAAAUACUGGAGUUAUACAAACAAACUAUCAGCCAUGCUAAGAACAACUGACAUACGAACAUGUCAUGAUACACAAGAGCCAAAUUCAACAGCUGAAAGAGGAUCAAUCUUAUUUGAAAAGUAAGUAAGUCCUACCACUAGAAGACAGUAUCAACUUCAAACAUCAGUCCGGUAAAACAAGGCUAGUUGAAUAUUAGUUGCAACUACACUAAACGGAGCAGGUUGACAGUAUCAAAUUGUAUUUUCCGUAGUAGGAAAAGGUAAUAUGUUCAGAAAUAUUCAAGUAACCAUGACAUUUAACAGUUUCUGAUAAUCGUUCAAGUUCAACUUAUGGGAUAUUGGUAAAAACUGACAAUCUCAUGUAUUUUUGAGAGAAGUGAACAAAAUAGCAGACGAGUGUAACAGAAUGCAGGCAAUCUAAUAAAUUAAAAUUAUGAAAUUAAAAUGGUGUGAUCAUUCUGGUCUACUGUCCAAGAAUAAGGGUUCAAGAUCACCAAGCAGACAACAGAGACAAUUUUUCAAUUUCACACAAACUCAUGAGGGACCACAAAAGCAAGAUUGUAAUCAACUGAUACAUGUGCAAAUACAGAUAUAUCUAAUAAGUAGUUCCACACAGAUAUCCAGAGCCCGUCAUUUCCUUAAUUGAUAAGAACCACAUGAGAUCAUAAAUAUCAUUAACGAAGUUCUCAGGCUCAGAAAAAAUUAUUCAAAUAACUUCACAUAAAUGAUUCAGUUAAAAGAAACUAAGACUAAAAAAGCAAGAACGACACCAGAAGCAUGAUGUCGCUAGAAACUCAAAAAAGAAGCAUGUGUAACUUAUUUGCCAGAGGCAAGCCAAAGAAGGCAGAAAAAAGAACCACAGAAAAUCUAGUCCGUAAGAAACUGCAAAGGUUGAAUUACUAAAAGGUCAACUGAACAGAAACAGCUAGGAAAUCUCACUUGACAUAGAUGAACAGCAAACCAGCAAAGUUAAGUUAGCUAACUAUCAUGAAAUCAUUGAUUUUCUCAUACCUCCUAACUUGGAAAGACAGGGCAGGUGGGUGAACAGAAGUUUAUGAAACUUCAAAACAACCAACAGACAAAGAUCUGGCACAACAAACUCAAGUACAGAUCCUUGAAAAAAUAGUAUAGCUCACUGGAUCCACUAAGUAAACAAGAUUAAACUUCUACUAAUUUGAUAUUGGACAGUUAAGACAGCUUAAUGGUUCGGCAAACAGAAAUUCAUGCCAAUUGGCAGUAGAGAUUGUUAGUUGGGUAUUCGCUGACACCAGCCUAUUGACACCAAAACAAAAGAUAUGUAUGUUUACUCCAAUCAUACAAGUUCCAAACCCAAGUGGGCAAACCUCACAUCAACUGGUUAAACUACAGAUCAUUAAAAACUGCAUCCAGUGCUUCUCACCUGAUCGAUUAAGUCAACUAGGCUAACGAGUAAAGUGGUGCCCGACAACUAACACAGCCCAAUGGUUUGACAACACUUAAAUCAACGCACAACGCUACUGAGAACUUGAAGAUUGGCUGACGCUGGCUAUCAGUUGUCACCAAAACAAGGUAUGCCUAGACUACGAGUAUGCGGAUUAUACCCAAUUUUUCUGUCUUAGGAUAGUAGGAAUCAUAUUACCUCGAAUUCCCUUUCCCGUGGGCGAAAGGUUCCCUCAAAUUUCCUCGAGUGGGUGGAAGGGUUCAAUUAAAAUUUAUUGGCUUCGACUAACAGUAUUUGGUCCUGUUGUUUUCUGGCAAUUAUUAUGCAACCUAGGAAUGUGACUGGUGACAUCAAAGUCAAAUUACAGUACAGGUGGGCUGAAUUAUCUAAUCGUAUCUGUAUUGUUUAUUUCACCCCCAGACAAAACUUAGAAAAUGAGCUGAAGGACCCACGCCAUCCACUUGAAAAGCACAUCCACAUCCACCACAUCCACUAGCAAAUAAUAUAUCAGGAAAAGAUGAAAACCUUCUUUGUAGUAGUAAUUUGUUAAAAUAGCAAGAAAAGCUGAGCCGAGUUAAAGUUACAGUCAGAAUCACCCUAAUAAUAAUCUGAAAAGAGUCAUGUGCUGUCCCUAAACUAAACUAGCGUCACCCAAGGACUCAUGAUGGGAGUCCGAGAGAGUACCACUAGUCUAUCUAUCAAAUACUUAGAAGAUAGCAGGGAGGAAUUAGAAGAUAGCAGGGAGGAAUUAGAAUCUUUCCAAGGCCGGAACUAGAAUUAUUUACAUAUAGAGAACAAUGUCUUCAGAUAAUUUUCGCAAGAAAGGGGGGAAAACUGAUGUACAGCUUUCGCAGAACCGGAGGAAAGAAAAGAAAAAGGAAUGAACAACUCACGGUGCGGCGUGAGACCAGCGGCUCCUCGAUGUCGCCCUCGGCGCCGCUACGGAUCGGCGCCUCCUCGUCUCCUACCAGAAUGCGCGAAACAAGCUAAGAGGCAGAGAGAGGGAGACGGACAUAAUAAAGAAGGUGAAGGGAGAGCGUCCGUGCUAGCUGCUAAUUCGAUCUGCUCCUACUCCUACUCCGACCUGGGUUCAAAUCAAAUCAAGAACGAGCACCUGGAAUCUUGGUGGUGGUAAUAUAUACCCCGCGACCGCGACCGCGACGGGGCAGGUCACCCGCCGUCUCGAUCGCGCGGCUACCAACCGCUGCCGCCGCCGCCGCUGCUGCUAGCGUUUGCUGCGGAAUUGCGGGUGUGGAAUGGAUGCGCGGGCGGAGACGACAUCCGGAUCCGUCCGGUGUGGUGAGUGGAGGAGCGGGUGGGGGGCGCGACGGACGAGGACGAAAGGAAAGUAGUUGUUGCUGCCGACGGUGGCGGGGGGCGGGCGGGGUGGUUUGCGUUUUGCGUGAGCGGGGAGGGAGGACGCCAGGACGGAGCGGAGGAGGAGGAGGGUUUGACUGCCUGACUGCCUGCCUGCCUGGCGCUCUAUACCCUUUUCUUUCGGGGACGGGUAGGGAUAAUAGGAUCUCGAGAGUUGGUGGUGGUCCUCGUUCUCGAGACAUUUUGAAUUUGAAUUCAAUUUUAUUUGAACAAAAGACGCCACUGUCAAGGAUGGCACGCGUGCCGGUUGGUAAACCGUUUGCCACGUGUGUCGAUCCUCCACUUCGUCUUCCUUUAUCUCUUUUUUUAUUUCUUUUUUUUUAAUUUAAUAAAAAAAAACAAAAGAAUAUGAAAGUGUGUCAUGUGCUUGUCACAAAUGGAUAAUAAAACUUAGAUGGCGUAUCAACUAGGGCAGGAAUUUGUAUGUAUUGAAAUAUUUUGGUUUUUGCCUCCUUUUUUUUGUCAUGGUAAAGCUAGGAAUAGAUAGAUAAAGACACAACUCAAUGACUUGACUCGCUGGUUAAUGAUUGUUGCAAGCUCAUACACAACUCUUUUUUGUUCUCUCUGUGUAUCUUUCCAUCGCUUGGAAAAAUGGGACAUCAACAGCUUUGUCAUUGUUAGGCUGUUAGCUACGUGAAGCUUACUGAUUUACAUACUCCAUGAGGAUCGGCAAGUAGCUCCCUAGAGCAACUCAAAUGGUAUCUAAACAAUUGAGUUCAAAAAUUUAAGGUUUACAGAUUUUAUGAAAAAAUUAUUGGAUACGGAAAAAAAAUACACUCCACUAACAGUUUUUUUUAUUUGUUUCUGAAAACAUACAUGUCAUCGUUUCACGUACAUAUAUGGACCUGUUUGGCUCAUAGCCACAGCACACUAUAUCUGAAUUGCGGCUCAUUGUAUUUGUGUUUGGUUGUUGUCGCGUGUUGGGCACGCCAAAAGUGUGGCCUCGUUCCUAUCUAAUUCUAGGUCAAUUUUGCCAAAAGUUUGCAGCUUGUUUCCUGCGCACAUUUGGAGGCACCAGAGCUACUUUGUGGUGUGCUUCGACGAGAGCCAAACAAGACCAUAAUGAGUGCUAAUUAUGGGCGAAAUAACUUGUAUUCUUUAAAAACAUAGACACCAUUGUCUCCCGCAUAUUGAAC